RNAcentral lists this ribosomal RNA (423 nucleotides) under uncultured bacterium. RNAcentral describes it as "partial 16S ribosomal RNA". It matches the Rfam family "Bacterial small subunit ribosomal RNA", at positions 360 to 775 of the family's 1533-position model. The record is from RNAcentral.
AAUUUUGGACAAUGGGGGCAACCCUGAUCCAGCCAUCCCGCGUGUAGGAUGAAGGCCUUCGGGUUGUAAAGUACUUUUGGCAGAGAUGAAAAGGUAUCUCCUAAUACGAGAUACUGCUGACGGUAUCUGCAGAAUAAGCACCGGCUAACUACGCGCCAGCAGCAGCGGUAAUACGUAGGGUGCAAGCGAUAAUCGGAAUUACUGGGUGUAAAGCGUGUGUAGGCGGUUCGGAAAGAAAGAUGGGAGAGCACAGCGCUCAACCUAGGAAAUGCAUUUUUAACUGCCGAGCUAGAGUAUGUCAGAGGGGGGUAGAAUUCCACGUGUAGCAAUGAAAGGCGUAGAUAUGUAGAGGAAUACCGAUGGAGAAGGAAGCCCCCUGGGAUAAUACUGACGCUCAGACACGAAAGCAUGGGGAGCAAACAG